RNAcentral lists this ribosomal RNA (274 nucleotides) under uncultured bacterium. RNAcentral describes it as "partial 16S ribosomal RNA". It matches the Rfam family "Archaeal small subunit ribosomal RNA", at positions 473 to 747 of the family's 1478-position model. The record is from RNAcentral.
AAACCAGCACCUCAAGUGGUCAGGAGGAUUAUUGGGCCUAAAGCAUCCGUAGCCUGCUCUGUAAGUUUUCGGUUAAAUCUGUACGCUCAACGUACAGGCUGUCGGGAAUACUGCAGAGCUAGGGAGUGGGAGAGGUAGACGGUACUCGGGAGGAAGUGGUAAAAUGCUUUGAUCUCUCGAUGACCACCUGUGGCGAAGGCGGUCUACCAGAACACGUCCGACGGUGAGGGAUGAAAGCUGGGGGAGCAAACCGGAUUAGAUACCCGGGUAGUCC